AUGCCAGCUGUGCCGGCUACACUAGCUUCGCCGACUCCAAUUGUUGCACCGGCUACAACUACUUCGUUGGCUACGACUACUCCGCUGGCUACAACAACAAAUCCGGCUUCGCCAAGCCUCGAAUCCUGUCGUCUCGACACCCAAUGGAUGGACGUCAUGGAGGUAGACGACGAGACGGCUGCCACAACGGCAUCAGAGACAGAG
Molecule: long non-coding RNA, 204 nt
Filed under: Hordeum vulgare
Lineage: Eukaryota; Viridiplantae; Streptophyta; Magnoliopsida; Poales; Poaceae
Description: long non-coding RNA (HVUL_LNC012110)
Source: RNAcentral